Molecule: RNA transcript, 1649 nt
Organism: Cercocebus atys (sooty mangabey)
Lineage: Eukaryota; Metazoa; Chordata; Mammalia; Primates; Cercopithecidae
Gene name: probable ribosome biogenesis protein RLP24 pseudogene
Exons: 1
Source: RefSeq, a predicted model, not a curated record
GUGGAGUGAAAUCGGCUCACUGCAACCUCCGCCUUCUGGGUUCAAGCUAUUCUGCCUCAGCCUCCCAAGUAACUGGAUUACAUGUGUCACUAUAGCAGCUGAUUUGUUUGUAUUUUUCGUAAAGAUGAGGUUUCACCAUGUUGGCCAGGCUGAUCUUGAACUCCUAAACUCAAGUGAUCUACCCACCUCAGCCUCCCAAAAUGCUGGGAUUACAGGUGUGAGGCACUGCACCUGGCCCCAGAUUUUUGAUACUCUUAAACCUUCUGAUCCUUAGUUUCUUUCUCCAAAAUACUCUUUCUAGGUUUAAAAAAAAAAAAAAAAAAAAAAGCUCUUUUUUUUGGUGCUAUGUAAGUGAAUAUGUAAGUGAAAAUGUAAGCGCUAUAUAAGUGAAAAUGUUUUUUAGGUUUUCUUGAUUUAAUAAUAGAGACAGGGUCUCCCUAUGUUGCCCAGGCUGAUCUCGAACUCCUGGGCUCAAGAGAUCCUCCUGUGUCAGCCUCCCAAAGUGCUAAGUAAGAUUACAGUCGUGAGCCACCACACCCAGCUGUAAAAAUGUACUUAUUUUCCAGCCUCUUUUGUAUAAACUGUAGUAAGGGAUGGGAGUAUUGAUGUUAUCUGAAAAUAGCCACCAUUUACCCAUAAGAUAAAACUUGUUAAAGCAUCCUGAGUCUAACUUAGUGCAUCAGGCCCUUUUUCACACAAAAAAAUCCUUUUUGGGAUUUAAUGGAAUCUGUUGUUUCCCCCUAAGUUGAAAAACAACUCUAAGACACUUUAAAGCAACUUCUUGGCCUGGGUUACAUAGUUCCCAGACUAGGUUUCAGCCUUCUGCUUAAGGCCAGUUUUAGAAACCCGUGAAUUCAGAAAAGUUAAUUCAGAAAUUUGAUAAACAGAAUUGUUAUUUAAAAACUAACUGGAAAGAUUAUAAGUUCUUUCCGAAUUACUCAGAAAUGAUGCAUCAUUUUCCUUCAAGAAUGACAGGGUCAGAAUGUGGAAUCCAAGAUACCUCUUGACUUCCUCUCAAGCUCUGUGUUUGCUCAGUGGAGGCCCAUCCCAGCUCAGCAUGUGUACUGAGAAGUGUUGGUUUCUUUGGGCCCCAUCUACCCUGACCACAUUAUGAUGUUCAUCUGCAGCAGUUGCAAGGUGUUCAGAGUGUGUAAAUACAAAUGGCAUAAACACUUUAAAAGUGCAGUCCUCAAAAGGUUAGGUGGACUCAAGCAUUCUGUAAAGCAACUAUUAAUAAUGAGCUUACAGUGGAUAAUUCAUUUGAAUUUGAAAAAUACAGAAACGAGCCUGUCAUACACCAGCAAGAGCUAUGGAAUAAAACUACUGAUGGAAUUAAGACAGUUGAAAAGAUCAAAUGCCAAGCUAAAUGUAUAAUGAACAAAUUGAAGAAAAAUAAAGGACUACAGAAAGUUCAGGACAUCAAAGAAAUUAGACAAAACUCAUCUUGACCCCUCUUGCAGGCAAAGGAAAGCAGCUGGAAGAAAAGAUGAUACAGCAGUUAAAACAGGAUGCAGACGUGGCAGAGGUUUCUUAAAAAAUCUCAUUGUCUAUAACCAUUUCUGUAUUUACAUUUGUGAAAAUCUCCUUUGGAGACUUAGAACCUCUAAAUUAUUGACUUAUUUUUUAUAUAAGGUCACUCAAAGGUGAUU